AGUGAAUCUAUCAAGAAUACUAAAAUAUCUUGCCUCAAAAUUCUUUGCACUGACAACCUAAAGAAAGAGUUCUAGCAUAGUGUACAUAAUGCAAGACAGCUAAGGUUCUUCAAGGAAUAAAUCAUAUUUCAUUUUCAGAUAUAGCAAAACAAAUAACUGCAUAACCUAUGCAAAACAAACAAACAAAAAGAGAAUUAGUUAUAUUUAUGUUAAAAAAAACCCUAAGAAACAAUUAUUCAAAGUAGCAACAAAAAUAUUACUGAGACUGAUCCCAUUGGUAUCAUUUUAGUUUUCUUGAUCAUGGGAUAGUUUGUGCGCCACCAGGCCAACUGAAACAGAUAGAGUUCAUCUGUGUAAAACGAGGAAAAAUAUCCUAACCCAUGAGUUGUAAGGGUUGAUUGUGAAAGCUUUUAACUAGGUUUGAAGGAAAAGGAUAAAAAAAUUCUCACUAGAGAUGAGCCUGGGGUGACUUGCCUGUGUUGGAGUGGCACGGACAGCCCAGCUGAAGUGCAUCUGCACCAAUGCACCCAGCAUGGGUAACAAACAAUUGGGUAACAAGCCAGUGGCAGCAGGAAGCUGUGAUGUGGUUAUCACCAUGGGAAUGUGGUGGGAUGACUGGAGUGCUGCAGUGGAGGGCUACAAGCUCCUCAGAAGGGACAGGAUAUGAGGAGGGCAACAAAACUGGUAAAAAGCUCUAAAGAGUAAGUCCUCCUCCUUGUAUGAGGAGCUGAGGGAGUUGAGUGAGUUGAGUCUGCUGGAGAUCUUCUUGCUCUCUAAAACAACCUAAAAGAGGGAUGCAGCAGAAAUCUCCAAGAACAGCAGUUUGAGCUAACAAAACAAUCUGCCCAUGGAAACACUGAAAGCUUCAUUUCAACUAAGUGUUUGUUUUCUGAUUAUUUCAAACUCAUCCUCAUUAUCUGCCUGCUCAUUGGAAAGGAAACAGCUGAUUCUUCAAGCAUGUUGACAGAUGUCUACUUUGAAAUACCUGCUGGGUGGCCAACACAUCAGUGAGACGUUAAAUCAUGUUGUCAUCUGGAGAGAAGCACUAAGCUGCUAAACUAGCUGUGAACACUGGCUGCUUAGUGACCUUUGCAUAGAAAUGGUGCUUCUACCCAUAAACAUUUUAAGGUCAUGGGAUUUAUUCCAGUUCCUCACAAAGCCUGACAUUUUGCAAAAGCCAGGAGCAACUCUGUACUGACUUUUUACCUAGGAAAUAUCUCCCUUUGGUAUUCAUUAGGAUGGGUCAAUCUAAUCCAGGCUGUAGGGCCAUUAGACCUGAUAAAAUUUCAGAGAAAAAGGAUUUCUAGUGGUGCAGAUGGUGGAGUCAUACCAAUAUUUUUUCCCUUGCUUUGAUUUAUAUUGCUGCUCAUGAGAAUUUGUACACUGAAUCCUUUUAAAAUUAAGUUUCUCCAAAAAGAUGGUGCAUGGAAAAGUAACAGCUUGUCCUCCACUCCCUAGUGCUUUGGUCUCCCACGCUGGGGAGUAGCAUGUUUCACUUGCAAGAAAUUUGUUCACAAUCAAAUUUGAUGCUACAGAAGGGCCUGUAUGUAGCCAUGCCACUCUGUCAAGCUCUUUCCCAUCUGCAGUUUGUGUAAAUUCUCUCCAGCUUGUGCUUCAGGUUUUUGGGAAAACUACAGUUUCCUGAUAUGUUUAGAUUUGAAUUCGGAUGCAUUAGACCAUUAGUACUUUACUUAUUUUAUGACAGAAAUGGCAACUUUGCUUAAGACCCCAAAGACAGCUUAAAAAAAUAUGAGUUGUCCAUGAACUUGUGGCAGCAGCUCUGUGGCUGCCCUGUGGGUGAGGCCACCCCACCCCGCGGUACAGGGAGGGAAGGAGCCAGCAGUGGCUGUCCGUAGACGGAUCGUUCCCACCUGGCUGCAGCAGAGAGAGGGGUGGGGCUGGUAUGUGUCACGAUCUGCUCAUACAAGCAAGGGUCGUGAUGGUUUGUUUUACCGGUCUCAGAGUGCAAAACACAAAACAGUGGGGAUUGCAGUGUUAAUCAAAACAAAUGCACCUCUAUUGAAUGACCACAGCAAAUGUGAUAGAGGGAUUAAGGGAGAGAAAAAAGAUAGAGAAAGGGGGAGAGAGAAGGAGAGGGGGUUAUAGCUACCAAAUGUAGAGACAAAGUCCUUUGCAGUCCGGCCAAGGAUCUGCCGUUACAUUGGGAAGAUCUUGAAGUCCUGGUUAUCUCAGGGUUCUACUAUAGUCCAUUGCUGAGGGGAUGGAAACAGACCUUGAAGUAAGUCUAUUGAAAUUGCUGAGGGAAAAAAAAAUACAGUAAAUAAUAGAUGUAACAGGCAGUCCACGUUCUCCACAGUAGGUGAGGACCAUUGUCUUCUUGGUCCAAUGGCCAUACCUGCAGGUAAAUAUCUCGCUUUGGUCAGGUUGGUUCCCCCACACACCUCCCCCAUGUUAGGGGUUUCAUUCUCAGUCCUUGGAAGGGGGGAGCUACCCUGUAUAGAGGUCUCAUGUCUCAGUUCUUGAGAGAGAGGCUUCUUCCAUCUAAGUCCGACUGUCACAGUGGUUAAAAAGCAGAUGAGGGGGUCUUCCAGGGGGGACCACCAAAGGUCACCCCAGAAAAGUCCAGCCAGGCCAAGAGGUGGGGAAAUUCACAAGCUAUUGGAGCAGGAACUAUGAAGCAGGUGCAAGCAUUCAGGGCAAGUCGCCCCCGCCUUUGCUAGAUGUUCCAUGGCAGCAAACACACCUGCAAACAAUAGCUUGGCAAACCAGCAGGGUUCUCAGGAUCUUGGUGAGCAACCAUCAGAAUUCCGACCAGGGUCUUUUCAGUAGUCCCAGUUUCUGUCCUUUCAUGACGAUCAUGAGGCAGAUGAGAAAAACUUAAGACAGAGACUUACAGCAUGCAAGGCCAGCUGGUUUCUGGAAUGGUGAACACCGGCCUUGGCCAUCAGAGUUGUGCUGACUGUGACAAAGGCUCGCCAGCUGCUAUGUGCCACCUGUGCAGGGUGGAGGCACUCCUUCGAGUUGGACUGGGACAUGCCUACUGAGGUGGACUGGCUUUCCCUUAGGGUUCAGCCCCUUAUUCCUUUAUAAAGAAUCCCCCAGAUUGGUUGUAGUUGAGGCACACUCGCAUCUCCCCUUGUACGUUCCUCACAGAGACAAAAACCCAAUGAGGCCGAGGCCCACGAAUCCAUGGGGAAACCAUGAAUUUUGGCCCAACUUAAAAAGCCUGUAAAGAGCAUAUUCUGACACAGAAAGUCCCUUAUGACGAACAAUGUCCCCACACUGUAAGGGUUAUAUGUUCUGGAAUAGAAAUUCAAAUGCCCAUUUUUCAGGUACCUUUUCCUUACUGCAAGCCUACCCCAGGUUGCAGGCAGAGCUAUUGUUGGGAAAUCUGUUCCCCAGCCCACCUCCUAGGCUAUGAAGGCAAAAAUGUGGUCCCAAGGGACAGAUCUUCUCCAGGAAGACACGGGGAAAGGUCACAUUACCUCUCUGC
Passer domesticus (house sparrow) is the source of this 3454-nucleotide long non-coding RNA. RefSeq lists it as uncharacterized. The transcript has 3 exons. NCBI's taxonomy places the organism in Eukaryota, Metazoa, Chordata, Aves, Passeriformes, Passeridae. The record is from RefSeq and is a predicted model, not a curated record.